CGGCAACUCCCCCGUCGCCUCAAACAGCUCCUCCGCCUUCACCCCUUCAUGAAUCAGCAGCGUAGCGUCGCCGCCGUCGUCGACGAUCAGAUCAGGUCCACCGUCGGGACCCCAAUCGAGGGCUCGCUCCGUGCACCACCAGUACUCCUGCAAGGUCUCUCCUUUCCAGGCGAAUACGGCGGCGCUGUCGCGGGCGAUGGCGGCGGCGGCGUGGUCCUGGGUGGAGAAGAUGUUGCAGGAGCACCAGCGAACCUCGGCGCCGAGGGCAGUUAGGGUUUCGAUGAGGACGGCGGUUUGGAUAGUCAUGUGAAGGGAGCCGGUGAUUCGGGCUCCCUUGAAGGGCUGAGAUGGGCCGAAUUCGGCCCGACAGGCUAUGAGCCCGGGCAUUUCGACUUCGGCCAACUCAAGUUCGAGUCGGCCGAAGUCGGCUUGGGAAAGGUCCUUGACCUUGUAUUCACGGCCGCUUGUGGUUUUCUCAACUAGCAAAGCCAUGACUAUUAUAGUAAGGAAAUAUUUUUAUUUUUUAGAGAAAGAGAGGUGAAGAAGCUAAGGGAAAAUGUUGGGUGUGUCAAAAUACGGUUAUGGGAGUGGGUGGAAUGGGAUAGGAUAUUUUAAUGAAGUGUGUGGAUUUGGGUUUUAUUGUUCACUUGCAAACAUCUUCUAAAUCCACGUGUAGUGUUAUAAAAGUUGAAAAGUAAAUUACACUGACACCCUUGAGUUUUAAUAAAAUUAUAUAAAUCAUCUCUUAUACCCCUAAUUUUUUACAUUUGCAUUACCACCCAUGAAUGAGAAAUAAAUGUAAUUUUUAGACAAAUUUAUGAUAAAUGUAGUUAAGUUAAUCAAAACAUGAUAUAAUGUGAAAUGGAACCCCCGUGAACUGAGUCAAGCCAAUUAAGAGUAUGAGACAAUGGUUUGAGGAGCACAUGGAGAUGAUGGCGCCAUGUUUGUUGGGAGCGGUCGGUUCCAUUACAUUGUAGUUGUAUCGCUCCUUUCGUCUAUUAAACUGUUGCCAUUAAUAAUACUUAGUACAUGAGGAGAGUAUUAUGAUAUUUAUAAAAUAUGAUUUUUACUAUAUUUAUAAUAAAUUUUAGUAAUUAGUAAUUGAGCUAUAUCGACAAAAGUUGUCAUAUAUAUUAUUUAUUUAAUUAUUAUAUAUAUUGAUUAUUAUAAAAUAUAUAAAUAUAUGAGAAAAUAGUAUAUAAAUGUAUAGUGAAAGUGAGGAAUAAAAUAUUAAUGGAACAAAAGCUCUAGAGUUUAGCUAUGAUCCAAGUCUAAAAGCAUAAGCAUGUGAUGUUGUUGUGUUUUACCAAACACAAGCCUUAGAGCACCCUAAUACAUGAGCACUUGAGCAGUGGGGAAGGUGUAAAAGGGUAAGAGAAUAUAAGACUCUUGUCUUACUGCACCAUCUAUUUUAAUCCUACCAAACCUAUCGUGAGAGAUAAUCUAGUAUUUUGAAGCUCUUACAUUGACAAUGAAAUAUAAGAAAUGAUCAAAUUGAGUUCAUACACUGAACAAUAUGGCUGUUGUAUCUGAAGCUAUGUCAUCUCAACCACGGCAUCAGAGGGAGUCUAAUGGCUGAAAUUCCAAUAUUUUAUCUUUAGGCAAAACGUAACAAAAUGACAUUCACAUAAAUCAAGUCACAAAGAUAAAGCAUGCCUAAAAGGGACUACGAUAAUUGACAAAUAUUUCAUCUUUAUUCUUAUUCUCUCGCUGAUAAAAGAUGAUCAUAAUUUUAUAUACAUGUGGUUAUAAACAAAAGGUCAAAUGAUGAAAUACUGAACAAGAAUGACAUUAGUGCUUCUGAAUAAGAAAUAAGCCAAAGGAUGAAAUGCUGAUGAUAAGUAAGAAAGAAUGACAUUAAUGUUUGAAAUGUUAUUUUUUUAUAGCUGAUAAAUAUUAAUACAUUUCACCUCUGAAUCUGUGCAUAUACAAAUUAUAUCCUCAAUAUCAAACAAUAAAAAUGUAAGUUAGAUACAAAAAUGUCACACUAGUAUAAAUAAUGAGUAUAAUAUUUAUGUACUGAUAAUAUAAAGAUUUAUACAUAAUUAACUCAUACACUAUCAAUUUAUAUAUUUUUCUCUAAAAUAAUAUCAUAACAUCACUUUUAUAUAAAUUUAUUUAAUAUUUUACAAUGUCAGACCACACCAUGUUGAGUUUGGACCAUGGUAUAGAUUUCUCUCUCUCUCGUUGUAAGAUGAAUACAAAUUUUAAAUAAUAAAGUAUUGAAAACUGAGAAUAAGAUAUUGCUAGAGACAUGUGUUCUCGAUAUUGAUUUCAUGAUUUGUUGAUAUUAUGCUAAUAUACCAACAUCCUCAUGCCCCCAGCCCCACAUUGGACUAAGGACCUACUUUGAUUUUCCUUCAAUAUUUUAUUGAGCAAUAAUGAAGAUACACGAUGACCAUUUUCCUUUUAUUCAUUUCACUGCACUGCCUUUUAUUCGUGUUUUUGUCCUUUAUAUUAUGAAUUCAAUCAUUGAUAUCCCACGGUUUUCACCUUACUUUCAUUUCAAAUAACCUUACACAAGAAUCUUAUCCACUUAAUGAGGAAGAAAUCUUAAAAUUUCCUAACAAAACAUUCAAUAUUCAUAUUGGAAGAUUGGGUAUUUGUCCUUUUGUAGAUUGAUUUCAGGCAAUGAAGGAAAUGUGAAUUUAUCUGUUUCCAUAGGCAUUGGCUGCAAAUGAAUGUGAAGUAACUUUUCACAAUCCUUCGGCAGUGAAUGAAUUUUAGCCCAAAACCAUGCACUUACAAUUGCAAAUUAAAAUCCCACUUACUCAAUUUAGUUUUCUUUUGAUUUUAGCAAAGGUGGACAGAAUGAACACUAAAACCCCACAAACUCAAGCUAUUACAAAACCAGAAUGAACACAACCCCAACCAAAGCAUUAUUCAAACCCAUUUGGUUUCACUUCACAGAAACCAAUGGAUCAACUUCCUCUAACCCUUCAUACCCACUUAGAACAGAGAAUCCUACAGAAAAUCCAAAAUAGUGAAAGUGGAACAAUCAAACCGGUACACGAAACAGCUUUUCUAUUCCUUCAAACUAAAUACCAUUCCUUGAUCUUCUCAGUACCUGUAGUGAGCAGGCUUGUAUGGACCCUCAACAGGUACGCUGAUGUAAUCAGCCUGUGAUUGGCUAAGCUUGGUGAGCUUAGCUCCAAGCUUCCCAAGGUGGAGUGCUGCCACCUUCUCAUCAAGGUGUUUCGGCAAAACAUAAACCUUCUUCUCAUAUUUGCCGGUAUCCUUCUCCUUCCACAACUCAAGCUGAGCAAUGACCUGGUUGGUGAAGGAGCAUGACAUCACAAAACUUGGGUGUCCUGUGGCACAACCCAAGUUCAUCAACCGUCCCUCGGCUAAGACAAUGAUGCCCGUGUUGGUUUCGGGGAAGACCCACCUGUCGGUUUGGGGCUUGAUGGUGAUGCGCUUCACACCAGGGUAAGACUCAAGACCGUGCAUGUCGAUUUCAUUGUCGAAGUGACCAAUGUUGCAGACAAUAGCGUUGUUCUUCAUUUUCCUCAUGUGGUCAACCAUGAUGAUGUCCUUGUUACCUGUGGUGGUAACGAAGAUAUCGGCAUCAGAGACAACAUCCUCUAGGGUCAGAACCUGAAGACCUUCCAUGAGAGCCUGAAGGGCACAGAUGGGGUCAAUCUCAGUCACAACAACACGGGCACCGGCCUGUUUCAAGGCAGCAGCACAACCCUUUCCAACAUCUCCGUAACCAGCAACAACGGCAACCUUCCCGGCAAUCAUGACAUCAGUGGCCCUCAUCAACCCAUCAGGAAGUGAGUGACGGCACCCAUACAAGUUGUCAAACUGUUGCAAACCAUGGAUCAAGUGGAGAAAAUAAAACUUCAUUAGACCAAAAAAUGACACACAACUAGAUCCAAAUUAUAAAACAUACAAAAAUUGACACCAAAAGAAGACUCAAAUCAAACACAACAUUUACACAAAAAAAGGAAACAACAGAUAAUAAGCAUAUAUGCAAAUUGCAAACAACACUCAGAACUCAUAAGCAGUUCAAAUUAAAACAAGAGCCACUGACCCCAUAUAAUCAUUAGCAUGCAGUGUAAAUUAAUUUCAAUAACCCACUUGUUUCAACAACCCAAGCAAUAAGUAGCCCUUAACACACAAUCUGAAGACAUUUAUUAAUUGCACACCACGAAGAAAAACCCAUUAAUUUAGCAAUGCAACAAAAAAACAUAGUUUUCAAACCUAAACCGUAAUUCUUACAUUUGUCACUCAAUCAAAAAAAGAACACACUCCAAAUUUCAGUAAGCCAAUGACAGCUCACCAUUUUCCAAUUACAACUAAACCUGACAUAACCCAUGUAACAAAACUUCAGAUCUUGACUCAGUCCAAAACAAAACACAAAUUAAACAACACAAAAACCAUAAUUUUUACACUUAACUCCCAUUCUCACACUCCUCUCCAAAAAAUAACACACUCUAAAUUUCACUAACCCUAAAACCAACCAUUUCAAACCAACCCAUUUUCGAAAGCAUCAUUUUUUCCCUAAAAACCCAACCAAAACUUCAGAUCCAAAUAAAAAAACAACCAGAUCUAUCUAAACAAAAACAAAGUAUCAAAAACUUCACCUUGCUCUUGGUAACAGAAUCAUUAACAUUAAUAGCAGGGAACAAAAGAGUCCCAUUAGCUUGCAUCUGAUAAAGUCUCUUAACACCAGUAGUAGUCUCUUCAGAAACCCCAACAAGUCUCUCUUUCAUUUUUCUAUACCUUCUCGGAUCACUCUUCAACCCAUCCUUAAUAAUCGUCAACACAAUUUGAAACUCUGCAUUAUCCGUUGAAUUUGGAUCCGGCAACUCCCCCGUCGCCUCAAACAGCUCCUCCGCCUUCACCCCUUCAUGAAUCAGCAGCGUAGCGUCGCCGCCGUCGUCGACGAUCAGAUCAGGUCCACCGUCGGGACCCCAAUCGAGGGCUCGCUCCGUGCACCACCAGUACUCCUGCAAGGUCUCUCCUUUCCAGGCGAAUACGGCGGCGCUGUCGCGGGCGAUGGCGGCGGCGGCGUGGUCCUGGGUGGAGAAGAUGUUGCAGGAGCACCAGCGAAC
RNAcentral lists this long non-coding RNA (5060 nucleotides) under Lupinus angustifolius (narrow-leaved blue lupine). RNAcentral's name for it is "long non-coding RNA (LANG_LNC000183)". Lineage: Eukaryota; Viridiplantae; Streptophyta; Magnoliopsida; Fabales; Fabaceae. The record is from RNAcentral.